GCGAUUCAUUACCAGCACUAAUGCACCGGAUCCAUCAGAACUCCGAAGUCAAGCUGUGCUUGGGCGAGAGUAGUACUAAGAUUGGUGAUAAGUCUUCACUAUUAUGAGUU
RNAcentral lists this ribosomal RNA (110 nucleotides) under Spirodela intermedia. Lineage: Eukaryota; Viridiplantae; Streptophyta; Magnoliopsida; Alismatales; Araceae. The record is from RNAcentral.